RNAcentral lists this ribosomal RNA (847 nucleotides) under Bacillus pumilus. RNAcentral's name for it is "bacterial SSU rRNA". It matches the Rfam family "Bacterial small subunit ribosomal RNA", at positions 45 to 877 of the family's 1533-position model. The record is from RNAcentral. Lineage: Bacteria; Bacillati; Bacillota; Bacilli; Caryophanales; Bacillaceae.
UGCUAUACAUGCAGUCGAGCGGACAGAAGGGAGCUUGCUCCCGGAUGUUAGCGGCGGACGGGUGAGUAACACGUGGGUAACCUGCCUGUAAGACUGGGAUAACUCCGGGAAACCGGAGCUAAUACCGGAUAGUUCCUUGAACCGCAUGGUUCAAGGAUGAAAGACGGUUUCGGCUGUCACUUACAGAUGGACCCGCGGCGCAUUAGCUAGUUGGUGGGGUAAUGGCUCACCAAGGCGACGAUGCGUAGCCGACCUGAGAGGGUGAUCGGCCACACUGGGACUGAGACACGGCCCAGACUCCUACGGGAGGCAGCAGUAGGGAAUCUUCCGCAAUGGACGAAAGUCUGACGGAGCAACGCCGCGUGAGUGAUGAAGGUUUUCGGAUCGUAAAGCUCUGUUGUUAGGGAAGAACAAGUGCGAGAGUAACUGCUCGCACCUUGACGGUACCUAACCAGAAAGCCACGGCUAACUACGUGCCAGCAGCCGCGGUAAUACGUAGGUGGCAAGCGUUGUCCGGAAUUAUUGGGCGUAAAGGGCUCGCAGGCGGUUUCUUAAGUCUGAUGUGAAAGCCCCCGGCUCAACCGGGGAGGGUCAUUGGAAACUGGGAAACUUGAGUGCAGAAGAGGAGAGUGGAAUUCCACGUGUAGCGGUGAAAUGCGUAGAGAUGUGGAGGAACACCAGUGGCGAAGGCGACUCUCUGGUCUGUAACUGACGCUGAGGAGCGAAAGCGUGGGGAGCGAACAGGAUUAGAUACCCUGGUAGUCCACGCCGUAAACGAUGAGUGCUAAGUGUUAGGGGGUUUCCGCCCCUUAGUGCUGCAGCUAACGCAUUAAGCACUCCGCCUGGG